AUUGCUUCUCGGCCUUUUGGCUAAGAUCGAGUGUAGUAUCAUUCUUGUCAGUUUAAUAAAUAAUUGCAUUGCUUUGGGGCCCCUGGGUGGCUCAGUCAGCUAAGCAGCUGACUUCAUGAUCUCAAAGUACGUGGGUUUGAGCCCCGCGUCAGGCUCUGUGAAGACAGCUCAGAGCCUGGAGCCUGCUUCUGAUUCUGUGUCUCCCUC
RNAcentral lists this small nuclear RNA (207 nucleotides) under Suricata suricatta (meerkat). RNAcentral describes it as "U2 spliceosomal RNA (ENSSSUG00005002214.1)". It matches the Rfam family "U2 spliceosomal RNA". Rfam says of the family: U2 is a small nuclear RNA (snRNA) component of the spliceosome (involved in pre-mRNA splicing). Complementary binding between U2 snRNA (in an area lying towards the 5' end but 3' to hairpin I) and the branchpoint sequence (BPS) of the intron results the bulging out of an unpaired adenosine, on the BPS, which initiates a nucleophilic attack at the intronic 5' splice site, thus starting the first of two transesterification reactions that mediate splicing. The record is from Rfam by way of RNAcentral. Lineage: Eukaryota; Metazoa; Chordata; Mammalia; Carnivora; Herpestidae.